RNAcentral lists this long non-coding RNA (5332 nucleotides) under Sus scrofa (pig). RNAcentral describes it as "lncRNA (ENSSSCG00035069775.1)". The record is from RNAcentral. Lineage: Eukaryota; Metazoa; Chordata; Mammalia; Artiodactyla; Suidae.
AUUUUGAAAUGCAAAGCUCUGCUCAAAGAGGGAGUGCCAGGGUUGUAGGAUUGCAUCAGAGACCUCUGAAGCCAGCCUGGGAUGUUAUGUUUUUUUUUCUUUUAAUUUCUAGGGGUUUUCCAGGCCAGUUAAUCUUUUGAUUUUUAUUUUCUACCCUAUGCAGGAGAGAAGAGAGCCAGGCAUGCUGGGUAAUAGAUCCAGAACAGUCUACAAGUAUUGCCAAGGACCUACUAUGUGCCAGUCACUGUUUUAGGCCCUGGGGACACAGGGUGGGCAAACCUGAGGAGGCCAUUAUAAUCUUUGUACCACACCGCACUAUCUUACUUAUUUUGUGUCUCUGUUCUGCUAGAGGGUGAGGGGCUUGUGAAGGCAGAGUUGUGUCUGGGUCAUCUUUGUAUCCAAAGUAGACAUGAUUUUUCCAUGAGUGUUUGUUGAAUGAAUGAAUGACCAUUUAGCUUACACAUCAUGGGCCAGGAACCUCUCUGGGUAUGGAGACAUGGCCACGAACAAGACAGAUGGGCACACACUAGGGGUGCAGAGACAAGAUACACAUUCAACAAGUACAUUAUCAGCAUGAAAUCAUGCAGAGAAAACAGUCUGGUUUCUCUAGUCAAAAUGAGCACCCAGGUAACCAGCACCACUCAGCCAGGGCAGUGAAAGAAGUGCGGUCAGGAUGGUGUAGGAGAAGCGGCCACUGAGAGGUGGUCCAGCGUGGUCUGAAAUGCCAGCUUGGUCACUGGAUCACUGUCGGAGCUUGGGGGCACAUUCUCUCUUUCAACCUCAAUUUCCCAUCUAGAAAUGGGAAUGAUAGUGUUUAACUGUCAAGGCACUGGAAAGAGGCACAGUUCUGAGAGGGCCCCUUGACCUCCACCCCCUGGGGUCACACCUGGUGUAACUCUCUCCCCUUGAGUGUGGGCAUGACCUGUGACCUGUUUCUAAUGAACAGAACGUGGUAAAGGAAGCCCACGUGGCAAGGAAUUGCAGGCAGCCUCUAGCAUCUGAGGGUGGCCCCAGCUGACAUCCAGCCAGACAGCAGGGCCCCCAUCCCACAGCCACAGGAAAUGAAUUCUGACACCAGCCUGAAGGAGCUUGGAAGCAGAUUCUUCUACAGUCGAGCCUCCGGGUGAGAAUGCAGCCUGGCUGCUACCUUGGCCACGACCUUGUGACACCCUGGGCAGAGGACCGAGCUGAGCUGUGACCAGACUCCUGACCUCUAGGAACCUUGAAAUAGUACAUGUGUAUUGUUGAGGCCAUUAAGCUUGGAGUAACUGGCCAGGCAGUAGGUGACCAGAUGCUGGCACACAGCAGGUAGGGUCUGAAAGUCAGAGGUGAAAGACAGCAGAGGGUGGAUCAGUUUAGCCUCCCCCACCUCGUCUUGCACACACCUGCCCCCCACCCCAAACCCUCACAGAGCUGGGCAUCCUGGGGGGCUCUGGGCUUGCAGCAAGGUCAGCCAUGCUGAGGUGCCUGCAUUUGGAACAAGAAGCAUCACCAAAGGGCACUCGCUUUCUAGAAGAGCAGAUGCUCCAAACUGCAUGCACUUGGGGUUCACUGGCCUCGAGGCUGGCAGCUGCUACCUUGGAGCUGAGAAGAGGCACUAGAGAAGCAAUAGGAUCCCUGAUAUCUGCCCAGAACCCGGGGAUGAGAAGGCCCGCAAAAAGAGACUGCUCGCCUCUUGUCAUGGCCUGCAGUGGACUCUGCAGAACUCUGGCCUCACCAUCUGCUUGGACAACGUCUGUGGCUGCUCAGGUUUGUGGGCUCAGAAUGGGAGGUCGAUGCCUGGUUUGCUUCCAGACUCAUCUGAUUUAAUUUCAGCACCGUUUCUGAAAGGGCUCUGAUUUCUCUGAUACUCGUUAAAUGACUCCCUCUGCCCCUGCCGUGCAGCCAGACCCUGUCCAGGUCUGGAAUGAUUAAGACUGAAUUUUCUGAGCCUUCGGGUCUCUGUCACAGUGGAGGAGACAAGGCUUGUUGCUCAAGGCUGUAGGAAGAUCAUGGUGAACACGAUUGUCCACCGCCUGCUCUCAGGUUACCCUGGACCAGAGGCUGGCUGAGGCUUAAAUGGAGCUUCUCACUUAACUCCUUGGAGACCCUGGAGAGAGGAGGUUCUGGAUAACCUUACUGGGCAUUAGCGGGGAUGGACUAAUGAUGAUUUCCUCCCAAUAGCAAGUGUGCUCCACGACCGUUGAUGAUGCUGGCCUUAACCAUUUACAGAGGGCAAUGUGGGGUCUAAGCAACCCAGAGUCAGGGUGACGCUCUGCACCCCCCCAACUUUGGGGGACAAUCAGACUGGUCCUAACAGUGACAAUGUGGACCCCACACCAGUAAGAAGGGAAGAGAAUUUGGCUUCCCUGAGGGCCUCCAACGUGCUGGGCAGCAGAUCCAGUGCUUUACAUACUGAAUUUCCUUAAACACCCAACACAACCCUGAGUGAGCUGCUAUUCAUACCCACAGUGUUCCAUGUAUCCACGGCUCCAUGAUAUCCCCCCCAGAACCUUCUGAUUGACUAUAACAACCCUUGUCUGUUUUGCUCACAGGUCUGCAAUUUGAGCAUGGAGACAGCCUGUCUCCCAACACAUGGCAUCAAGCAAGGUGGCUCCACUGAGGCCAAAAGGUCCACUUCGAAGAUGGCUCAGUCACAUGGAAGCCAAAUUGAUGCCAGCUCUCAACUGGGAGCUCAGUGGAGACUGUCAGCCCUGGGCCUUGUUGUCUCCGUGAAGACCUAUCCGCAGGGCUGCUUGGGUUGCCUCACGAGAUGGCAGCUGAGCGCCAAGAAAUCCAGGUGGAAACCACAAGGCUCUGUGGGUGACCUAGCCUCAUGGGUGAUAUCCCUGAAUAUCAUUUCUCCACAUUCUACUGGCCAGUGAAGUCGCUGAGGCAAAUCCAGGUUCAAGGGGAAGGAAAUCAGACUCCACCUCUCAGUGGAGGGAGUAGGAAAUAGAGGCACUUACCUCUAACCCACCAUAUGUAUUUUACAGAUGGGGAAUCUGAAGUUUCAGAGCCAUGUCACACCUUCCCACAAUGAACAGCUGGAAAGCAGCAGAGACCCACAUCUGAACCCACCUCUGAAUAAGCUCUGAACAUAAGGUCUUUCUAUUCUACCAAGUAGUACUUUAGACCAGGAAGCUAAUACCAAUGGCUGAUUGGUUUAGCUAAUCAGGCGUAUCUUCAGAAAUAGGCCCAGAAAGACCAGUAAAAAUAAGACCCGUGUUUGAAUUUCUUAACUCUAUAUAAGUUUCCCCAAGCAUUAAGUUUCUUUAUGGAGAGCUGAGCUCAGUCAAAGUUUUUGUAGACUAAGACUUUAUCAGAACAGAAAAGCCAGGCUUAAACAAUGAAUGUGACCUGGACUAGAAAAAUUCUUCUUAAAUUUUUCCACAUUUUCCUUAUUCUUGCCAAGCAUUCUUGUCCCACCAUCCCUCCACCAAAGACUAGUUGGAGACACGUGGGUGCACAGAAAUGCUGUGUACAGUUGCUCAGGAUGUGCAUUGUACAAGGAGGUCAGUUGAACAGUGAAAGGGGUUAAAACUCAGCCUGUGCUCCUCUCUGCGAGCCUUGCGUCUGGUAUGGGACUGAGUCCAACUGGAGUUAGGGUGCUGUUUCCUAAGCUGAUCAAGUUAGCCAGGGAGGACUAACUUGCAAAGCCAACUUCAAAGCAAUUCUACCCAAAUUGUCCUGAGGAGAGGCUGAACGUUUCAAGGGGAAAGUGGAGAAGGAGAAUGUGAUGACUCUUGGUCUCCCAAGAAACAUCUCAAGCAGUUCUUCUCUGGCUCCAAACUUGUAUACUUUGUUCGGAAAAACAAAAGUUCCUCAUUUAGCGGGAUCACCUUCCAUGGAGGUGAUCAUGUAUUUUUUAGCUAUUUAUUUGCCCUUUCAGGGACUUGCCCUUCUUGGGUUCAAGUUUGAUUCUUCCAUAAAUGGAAGGUCACUGCAUGAUCUUGGAUCAAAUGUGUAACAUCUCAGAACUUGCCACCUCCCCUGCGAAAGAGGAAUCCUAAUAACAGGCAUUUCAUUAAGUCUCAGAUACUAUCAUUUUUAACAUGUACCAUUAUUUCACGUAUCGCGAAGGAAAUAAAGCUGCCAAUUCAACUGACAUGUCUUUGAUUCUAAGAUGUAUACUGAUUUCAGAGAGAAAAAUGGAAACAAAAUAGGUCUUGGGACUGAAGGAAUUUAGUAAAAUAGUUGGCCUACCUACAUGAAGAAAGGGUGUUGUGAGGAAUUAAUUAAAUAAUGUGCAAAAAAAAAGACUUUUUAAACAAAAAAGCACUAAAAAUAUGAAUUCUUCUUAGACAUCUGAACUUUCAACUGACUUCAUCUUAAAGACUCACGUACUCUCAGAUCUUCCCAAGCCUUAUUUAACUGUCCUCAUGUAUUCACUAAGUAGUUCAAAAAGCUGCAUUUACAGCCUUAGGAGUCUGAAUUGCUUUUCUCCAUUUAUAACAUUCCCACCCUCUUAUGAUUUAUUUGUGUAGAAUCAACUUGUGAGUUUUCCCUUGAACUGGAUUCAAGAUUUGAGGCUUGAUUUAUAGUUAGAACUGACUAACAUUUGGAAACAAUGAACUGUGUUGUCUAAACACAUAAAUACCACAAGAGAAAGCUGAAGUGCUAAUUACUGUGAGGGGAGGGGGUGGGGGAGCAAACACAACACAAAAGGCUGCUCCACGUCAGGGGCUCCUGACAACUGAGUGGGGAGAUGGGGGGAGGGUGGGGGGGGGAUUCCUGGGCCGCAUUUCCCAUGCUGCUUCAGGGGAGGAAAUGGCUGAGAGGUUUGGACUGUGGUUUCCCUCUGGAGGCCACCAAAAAGCAGGUGAUCCAUAAUUCUUCCAGUCUGGAAAAAACCGUAAGCUCUCUAGGGCCUUGGCUGCCCCAUGUCCUCAGUUGAGGACAUGAGGACAACAUGGCCUUGGCUGUCCAACUCCAUCAGGGGCCAGGAAACGAGCUCUGGUGUCUCGGGCCUGGCCCGUCGGAGGUGGAUCUGACUGGUUCAAGCCCAGGAGGCUGUGCUCUCCUGCUCCAGAUGCACCCAUCACAGUGUAGGAAAGAGCCCCUCCAAGUCGGCCUGGGGUCUUCAGGGGGUGGCCUGGCAUCCCCAAAGCAGCCACACCUUGGAAUCCAUCAGACCGGAGUUUACAUCCUGCCUUCAUCAUGUAUCAGCGGUUUGUUACUGGACUUUUCUGUGCCUCCAUCUCUUUAUUGGUAAAAGGCGUAAUGGGCUCACAUAGGGGACGCGGCCAUUCAAGGGUCUAGAGCAGAGUGGAUGGGCAUCAGAUGAGUCCUCUUCAGAACUCUGAAUCAUCUUCAGCCAAUGUGAGCUGAACCCUCGCCACGUGCAGAUGCU